GAUCAUGGCUCAGGAUGAACGCUGGCGGCGUGCCUAACACAUGCAAGUCGAGCGAAGCACUUUGCUUAGAUUCUUCGGAUGAAGAGGAUUGUGACUGAGCGGCGGACGGGUGAGCAACGCGUGGGUAACCUGGCCUCAUACAGGGGGAUAACAGUUAGAAACUGACUGCUAAUACCGCAUAAGACCUACAGCACCGCAUGGUGCGGGGGUAAAAACUCCGGU
Molecule: ribosomal RNA, 222 nt
Filed under: uncultured bacterium
Lineage: Bacteria
Description: partial 16S ribosomal RNA
Rfam family: Bacterial small subunit ribosomal RNA
Source: RNAcentral